AUACGUAGGUGGCGAGCGUUGUCCGGAUUUACUGGGUGUAAAGGGCGAGUAGGCGGGUAAACAAGUCAGAUGUGAAAUACCGAGGCUCAACUUCGGGGCUGCAUUUGAAACUGUUUAUCUUGAGUGAUGGAGAGGCAGGGGGGAUUUCCCGCGUGGUGGGGAAAAGCAUAGAGAUUGGGAGGAACACCAGUGGCGAAGGCGGCCUGCUGGACAUCAACUGACGCUGAGGAGCGAAAGUGUGGGGAGCAAACAGGAUUAGAUACCCUGGUAGUCCACACCGUAAACGAUGGAUACUAGGUGUGCGGGGACUGACCCCCUGCGUGCCGGAGUUAACACAUUAAGUAUCCCACCUGGGGAGUACGAUCGCAAGAUUGAAACUCAAAGGAAUUGACGGGG
Molecule: ribosomal RNA, 396 nt
Filed under: uncultured bacterium
Lineage: Bacteria
Description: partial 16S ribosomal RNA
Rfam family: Bacterial small subunit ribosomal RNA
Source: RNAcentral